GAUGAACGCUGGCGGCGUGCCUAAUACAUGCAAGUCGAGCGAACAGACGAGGAGCUUGCUCCUCUGACGUUAGCGGCGGACGGGUGAGUAACACGUGGAUAACCUACCUAUAAGACUGGGAUAACUUCGGGAAACCGGCGCUAAUACCGGAUAAUAUAUUGAACCGUAUGGUUCAAUAGUGAAAGACGGUUUUGCUGUCACUUAUAGAUGGAUCCGCGCCGCAUUAGCUAGUUGGUAAGGUAACGGCUUACCAAGGCGACGAUGCGUAGCCGACCUGAGAGGGUGAUCGGCCACACGGGAACUGAGACACGGUCCAGACUCCUACGGGAGGCAGCAGUAGGGAAUCUUCCGCAAUGGGCGAAAGCCUGACGGAGCAACGCCGCGUGAGUGAUGAAGGUCUUCGGAUCGUAAAACUCUGUUAUUAGGAAAGAACAAAUGUGUAAUUAACUAUGCACGUCUUGACGGUACCUAAUCAGAAAGCCACGGCUAACUACGUG
RNAcentral lists this ribosomal RNA (497 nucleotides) under uncultured bacterium. Its description in RNAcentral is "partial 16S ribosomal RNA". It matches the Rfam family "Bacterial small subunit ribosomal RNA", at positions 28 to 507 of the family's 1533-position model. The record is from RNAcentral.